This 253-nucleotide ribosomal RNA is filed under the name uncultured bacterium. Its description in RNAcentral is "partial 16S ribosomal RNA". It matches the Rfam family "Bacterial small subunit ribosomal RNA", at positions 524 to 776 of the family's 1533-position model. The record is from RNAcentral.
UACGUAGGGGGCAAGCGUUGUCCGGAAUCAUUGGGCGUAAAGAGCGCGCAGGCGGCUUGGCAAGUCGGGUGUGAAAUCCCGGGGCUCAACCCCGGGACUGCAUUCGAUACUGUCGGGCUAGAGUCCGGAAGAGGCGAGUGGAAUUCCCGGUGUAGCGGUGAAAUGCGCAGAUAUCGGGAAGAACACCCGUGGCGAAGGCGGUUCUCUGGGACGGUACUGACGCUGAGACGCGAAAGCGUGGGGAGCGAACAGG